This 492-nucleotide ribosomal RNA is filed under the name uncultured Pseudomonadota bacterium. Its description in RNAcentral is "bacterial SSU rRNA". It matches the Rfam family "Bacterial small subunit ribosomal RNA", at positions 354 to 842 of the family's 1533-position model. Lineage: Bacteria; Pseudomonadati; Pseudomonadota. The record is from RNAcentral.
UGGGGGAAUAUUGCGCAAUGGGCGAAAGCCUGACGCAGCCACGCCGCGUGAGCGAUGAAGGUCUUCGGAUCGUAAAGCUCUGUGGGGAGAGACGAAGAAAGCCCGUGAAGAGCGGGCCUUGACGGUAUCUCCUUAGCAAGCACCGGCUAACUCCGUGCCAGCAGCCGCGGUAAUACGGAGGGUGCAAACGUUGCUCGGAAUCAUUGGGCGUAAAGCGCACGUAGGCGGCGGCAUAAGCGGGAUGUGAAAGCCCAGGGCUCAACCCUGGAAGUGCAUCCCGAACUGUGUCGCUUGAAUCUCGGAGGGGGACAGAGAAUUCCCGGUGUAGAGGUGAAAUUCGUAGAUAUCGGGAGGAAUACCAGUGGCGAAGGCGCUGUCCUGGACGAAGAUUGACGCUGAGGUGCGAAAGCGCGGGAAGCAAACAGGAUUAGAUACCCUGGUAGUCCGCGCUGUAAACGAUGAGUGCUGGACGGUGGAGGAUUUGACCCUUCG